This 380-nucleotide ribosomal RNA is filed under the name uncultured eukaryote. Its description in RNAcentral is "partial 18S ribosomal RNA". It matches the Rfam family "Eukaryotic small subunit ribosomal RNA", at positions 592 to 976 of the family's 1831-position model. The record is from RNAcentral.
CAAUAGCGUAUAUUAAAGUUGUUGCAGUUAAAAAGCUCGUAGUUGGAUUUGUGGCGUACGGUGUGUUCCGGGCACUUGUUGUCUGAGUAACCUGCUGUUGCCAUCCUUGGGUGGAACCUGUGUGGCAUUAGGUUGUCGUGCAGGGGAUGCCCAUCAUUUACUGUGAAAAAAUUAGAGUGUUCAAAGCAGGCUUAUGCCGUUGAAUAUAUUAGCAUGGAAUAAUGAGAUAGGACUUUUUUGCUAUUUUGUUGGUUUGCGCAAGAAGGUAAUGAUUAAUAGGGACAGUUGGGGGUAUUCGCAUUCCAUUGUCAGAGGUGAAAUUCUUGGAUUUUUGGAAGACGAACUACUGCGAAAGCAUUUACCAAGGAUGUUUUCAUUAA